Molecule: ribosomal RNA, 468 nt
Filed under: uncultured bacterium
Lineage: Bacteria
Description: partial 16S ribosomal RNA
Rfam family: Bacterial small subunit ribosomal RNA
Source: RNAcentral
GACGAACGCUGGCGGCGUGCUUAACACAUGCAAGUCGAACGGAAAGGCCCUGCUUUUGUGGGGUGCUCGAGUGGCGAACGGGUGAGUAACACGUGAGUAACCUGCCCUUGACUUUGGGAUAACUUCAGGAAACUGGGGCUAAUACCGGAUAGGAGCUCCUGCUGCAUGGUGGGGGUUGGAAAGUUUCGGCGGUUGGGGAUGGACUCGCGGCUUAUCAGCUUGUUGGUGGGGUAGUGGCUUACAAAGGCUUUGACGGGUAGCCGGCCUGAGAGGGUGACCGGCCACAUUGGGACUGAGAUACGGCCCAGACUCCUACGGGAGGAAGCAGUGGGGAAUAUUGCACAAUGGGCGGAAGCCUGAUGCAGCAACGCCGCGUGCGGGAUGACGGCCUUCGGGUUGUAAACCGCUUUCGCCUGUGACGAAGCGUGAGUGACGGUAAUGGGUAAAGAAGCACCGGCUAACUACGUG